This is a long non-coding RNA of Oryzias melastigma (Indian medaka), 1081 nucleotides long. RefSeq lists it as uncharacterized. Lineage: Eukaryota; Metazoa; Chordata; Actinopteri; Beloniformes; Adrianichthyidae. The transcript is spliced from 2 exons. The record is from RefSeq and is a predicted model, not a curated record.
CGUUUGUGAAAACAACAGAAAAAAGUCAAAGCCAAAAUAUCAGAAAGAAACCGGUUUAGGAUCCUUCAGAACACGUGCUAAAGUCAAGGCCCGGGGGCCGGAUCCGGCCCUCCAGCUUCAACAGAAGUCAGAAAGAAGAACUUCUGUUUACCAAAGACAGAUGAAUGCAGGAGAUCAAACGGAUAAACAAACAACAACAGUCUGCGACACCCCCCACAGAAAACAGUUCACCAUGAUGGUUGACGUCAGCCAUCGGUCUGAGUUAACGUUUCUAUGGUAACCACUCUCACCAGUCAGGAGGGAGCUUGUUGGAAGGCCACGCCCCCUUCCACUUAAAUAACUUUCCGAUCCAGACAAGCUCCUUCAUACCUUCAUGUUCUGCAAGCUGGACUUUUCAAAAAGAGUUUGGACCAGAACCAGAAGAACCAGAACCACACCGCUGCUGUUCUCCGAGCCUUCAGGGAGACCCAGACGGGUUCAGGAGUCCAGGAAACUGGUAGAACUCAGAACCAGAACCAGGCCGGAGCAGCUCAUCUGGGUUCGAUCUCCAUUCCUCCGGCGAGCUGAGAGUUUCUUGACCUGAACGGCGGCUCCAGGGUCACCGAUCCUCCGGUUUGGUUUUUACCUGAUGUGGUCUGAGGUUUCAGGUCUCUGGAAGCUCCUCCUCUCCACAGAAACGUCAGCUCAUCACAUUUACCGGAAGGCUAGAAUCUAGUUUUAGCUCACCUUUCAUAGCCUUGUGGGCGUGGCCAGCUUCGUUUGAACUUCAUUUCAACAACAUUGUGUAUAUGUGGUUGUUACCUGUCUUCAGGUAACGGUGAUGAUGACAUCAGAGGUCACAUGACAGAAACAGGAAACACUUUGACUUUUACACGCACGUUUAAUUUACCACAUGUAUGUGCUGAUAGAAAAAAAGCUGAGUGACAAAUCGCUGCUCGGCAACAUUCGGACCGACACGAGACGACGAGCAGAACCGAGAGGACCCGAAUCCAACCCCCCCACAAAGCAUGCAAACACUUCCUGUUCAGACCAUGCUGCUGCUGGAAUGAAGAGUAAAAAAGAGGGAUAAAAAAGUGAAAAA